GACGAACGCUGGCGGCGUGCUUAACACAUGCAAGUCGUACGGUAAGGCCCUUUCGGGGGUACACGAAUGGCGAACGGGUGAGUAACACGUGAGUAACCUGCCCACAACUUUGGGAUAACGCUAGGAAACUGGUGCUAAUACUGGAUAUGUGCCCCUGCUGCAUGGUGGGGGUUGGAAAGCUCCGGCGGUUGUGGAUGGACUCGCGGCCUAUCAGCUUGUUGGUGGGGUAGUGGCCUACCAAGGCGGCGACGGGUAGCCGGCCUGAGAGGGUGACCGGCCACAUUGGGACUGAGAUACGGCCCAGACUCCUACGGGAGGCAGCAGUGGGGAAUAUUGCACAAUGGGCGCAAGCCUGAUGCAGCAACGCCGCGUGCGGGAUGACGGCCUUCGGGUUGUAAACCGCUUUCAGCAGGGACGAAGCUUUUUGUGACGGUACCUGCAGAAGAAGCACCGGCUAACUACGUG
Molecule: ribosomal RNA, 465 nt
Filed under: uncultured bacterium
Lineage: Bacteria
Description: partial 16S ribosomal RNA
Rfam family: Bacterial small subunit ribosomal RNA
Source: RNAcentral